GUCCCUGUAGCAUGAUGGAUACCGCGUUGGACUUCUAAUCCAAAGGUCAUGGGUUCAAAUCCCACCUGGGAUG
RNAcentral lists this transfer RNA (73 nucleotides) under Trichonephila inaurata madagascariensis. It matches the Rfam family "tRNA". Rfam says of the family: Transfer RNA (tRNA) molecules are approximately 80 nucleotides in length. Their secondary structure includes four short double-helical elements and three loops (D, anti-codon, and T loops). The record is from Rfam by way of RNAcentral. Lineage: Eukaryota; Metazoa; Arthropoda; Arachnida; Araneae; Nephilidae.